AAGUCGUAACAAGGUUUCCGUAGGUGAACCUGCGGAAGGAUCAUUAUAGAGUUCCUGCCCUCACGGGUAGAAACCCCACCCUUGCUUAUUAUACUUGUUGCUUUGGCGGGCCCUGUGGCCCCGGCCGCACGUUGGCUUCGGCUGGCGAGUGCCCGCCAGAGGACCCCAAACCCUAUGUAUUAGUGUCGUCUGAGUACUAUAGAAUAGUUAAAA
This 213-nucleotide unclassified non-coding RNA is filed under the name plant metagenome. RNAcentral's name for it is "partial contains small subunit ribosomal RNA and internal transcribed spacer 1". The stretch from base 1 to 46 matches the Rfam family "Eukaryotic small subunit ribosomal RNA", at positions 1786 to 1831 of the family's 1831-position model. The record is from RNAcentral.